UACAGAGGGUGCAAGCGUUGUUCGGAAUUAUUGGGCGUAAAGCGCGUGUAGGCGGCUUUGCAAGUCGGGGUGUGAAAGCCCUCAGCUCAACUGAGGAAGUGCGCCCGAAACUGCAGAGCUUGAGUACCGGAGAGGAUGGUGGAAUUCCCCAAGUAGAGGUGAAAUUCGUAGAUAGUGGGGAAGGAACACCGGUGGCGAAGGCGACCUCUGGACGGAUACUGAACGCUGAGACGGCGAAAAGCGUGGGGAGCAAACAGGG
RNAcentral lists this ribosomal RNA (259 nucleotides) under uncultured bacterium. Its description in RNAcentral is "partial 16S ribosomal RNA". It matches the Rfam family "Bacterial small subunit ribosomal RNA", at positions 524 to 777 of the family's 1533-position model. The record is from RNAcentral.